GGGCUCUGGCUGAUUUGCAUAACCAGCAGGUGUCUCCAGCAAGAGGAUAAGAGAGACCUUGGAGGAAUCCUGCUCAGCCUUGGGCCUUGGGGAGCAAAAUCAAGGCACCAGCACCAUGGCCUGGACACCUCUCCUCCUCGGAUUCCUGGCUCACUGCACAGGCUCCAUGGCCUCCUACGUGCUGACUCAGCCCCCGUCGAUGUCGGUGAACCUGGGACAGACUGCCAAGGUCACGUGUGGGGGAAACAACAUUGGAGAUAAAUAUUCGUACUGGUACCAGCAGAAGCCAGGCCAGGCCCCAGUGCUGAUCAUCUAUGAGGAUAACAAGCGGCCCUCUGGGAUCCCUGACCGAUUCUCAGGCUCCAACUCAGGGAACACAGCCACCCUGACCAUCAGCGGGGCCCAGGCCGAGGACGAGGCUGACUAUUACUGUCAGACUUAUGACAGCAGUGCUAAUGAUCACAGUGACAUGGACAGAUGGAGAAGUGAGACACAAACCCCUUCCCCGUCUGUGUCACACUGUCCUCCAGCCCCAGGAGGCCUGUGCACAGAGCAGGGAGUGGGUCUCAACCUGGUCGCCAGAUUUGAGGUCCCCAUGCCUCUCUCCCCACCAGUGCACCCGACAGGCUCUGCACAAGGACCUGCCCCCAAGCCAUGCCACAGGAUCAGCCCACAGAACCGCAGCAUGAGCCUGGCCCUCGGCUCAGCCCAGGAGAUGCUGCAGGGGUGGGACCCUUGA
Non-coding RNA from Ailuropoda melanoleuca (giant panda), 739 nucleotides. The record is from the annotation of a RefSeq genome assembly. NCBI's taxonomy places the organism in Eukaryota, Metazoa, Chordata, Mammalia, Carnivora, Ursidae.